This 325-nucleotide ribosomal RNA is filed under the name uncultured eukaryote. RNAcentral's name for it is "partial 18S ribosomal RNA". It matches the Rfam family "Eukaryotic small subunit ribosomal RNA", at positions 1470 to 1796 of the family's 1831-position model. The record is from RNAcentral.
CCCUUAGAUGUCCUGGGCCGCACGCGCGCUACACUGAUGCAUUCAACGAGUUUUACCUUGGCCGAGAGGCCUGGGCAAUCUUUUAAACCUGCAUCGUGAUAGGGAUAGAUUAUUGCAAUUAUUAAUCUUGAACGAGGAAUUCCUAGAAAACGCAGAUCAUCAAUCUGCAUUGAUUACGUCCCUGCCCUUUGUACACACCGCCCGUCGCACCUACCGAUUGAAUGGUCCGGUGAAGCCUCGGGAUUGUGGCCAGUUCACUUUAUUGGGAGUUGGCUGCGAGAACUUGUCUAAACCUUAUCAUUUAGAGGAAGGUGAAGUCGUANCA